RNAcentral lists this ribosomal RNA (342 nucleotides) under Loicia sp. JSPK4. RNAcentral describes it as "partial 16S ribosomal RNA". Lineage: Eukaryota; Metazoa; Arthropoda; Insecta; Diptera; Mycetophilidae. The record is from RNAcentral.
UUUUUUAAUUGAAAACUUGUAUGAAUGGUUUAACGAGAUAUUUUCUGUUUCAUUAAAAAUAUAGUAGAAAUUAAUUUUUUAGUUAAAAAGCUAAAAUUAAAUUUAAAGACGAGAAGACCCUAUAGAGUUUUAUAUAAUAUUUAAACAAUUUUUAUAAAUAAUAAUUUAAAUUUUAUUAAAUUUUAUAUUUUAUUGGGGUGAUAAUAAAAAUUAAUUAUCUUUUAUUAUUUAUUAACAAAGAUUUUUGAUUUGUUGAUCCAUUAUUAAUGAUUAAAAGAUUAAAUUACCUUAGGGAUAACAGCGUAAUUUUUUUGUAGAGUUCUUAUCGAUAAAAAAUUUUGC